CCUACGGGUGGCAGCAGUAGGGAAUCUUUCACAAUGGGCGAAAGCCUGAUGGAGCAACGCCGCGUGCAGGAUGAAGGCCUUCGGGUUGUAAACUGCUUUUAUAAGCGAGAAAUAUGAUGGUAACUUAUGAAUAAGGAUCUGCUAACUACGUGCCAGCAGCCGCGGUCAUACGUAGGAGCCGAGCAUUAUCCGGAGUGACUGGGUGUAAAGAGUUGCGUCGGGGGCAUAAUAAGUAGCUAGUGAAAUCUGGUGGCUCAACCAUUCAGACUAUUAGCUAAACUGGUAAGCUCGAGACCGUUAGGGGUAACUGGAAUUUCUAGUGUAGGAGUGAAAUCCGUAGAUAUUAGGAGGAACACCAGUAGCGUAGGCAGGUUGCUGGGACGGUUCUGACGCUAAGGCACGAAAGCGUAGGGAGCAAACGGGAUUAGAUACCCCUGUAGUC
RNAcentral lists this ribosomal RNA (442 nucleotides) under uncultured bacterium. RNAcentral's name for it is "partial 16S ribosomal RNA". It matches the Rfam family "Bacterial small subunit ribosomal RNA", at positions 338 to 795 of the family's 1533-position model. The record is from RNAcentral.